UAUUAAAGUCACAACGGUGAAAGAUGAGCAUGCGUCCCAUUAGCUAGUUGGUAAGGUAACGGCGUUACCAAGGCAACGAUGGGUAGGGGUCCUGAGAGGGAGAUCCCCCACACUGGUACUGAGACACGGACCAGACUCCUACGGGAGGCAGCAGUGAGGAAUAUGGACAAUGGGCGCAAGCCUGAUCCAGCCAUGCCGCGUGCAGGAUGACGGUCCUAUGGAUUGUAAACUGCUUUUUAUACAGGAAGAAACACUACUUCGUGAAGUAGCUUGACGGUACUGUAAGAAUAAGGAUCGGCUAACUCCGUG
This 309-nucleotide ribosomal RNA is filed under the name uncultured bacterium. RNAcentral describes it as "bacterial SSU rRNA". It matches the Rfam family "Bacterial small subunit ribosomal RNA", at positions 199 to 507 of the family's 1533-position model. The record is from RNAcentral.